GUUGUUGCUCAUCCCAAACUGCUGUUGUUGCAGUUGUUCUAGCAUACGUUGAUUCUGCUGCUGUAACAGCUGAUUCUGCUGAAGCAUCGAUUGGUGAAUGCUCUCUUGUUGAUGCAUGUUCUGUUGCAGUCCAUAUUGCUGCUGCAUUUGUUGAUGCUGCAUCUGCAACUGCAUUUGCUGCUGCUGGAGGAACAUUUGCUGCUGACCCUGAGAGCUGCUACUAAAGUCCAUGUCUGGUUGAAAGGGCAGGUCAUUC
Molecule: non-coding RNA, 256 nt
Organism: Seminavis robusta
Lineage: Eukaryota; Bacillariophyta; Bacillariophyceae; Naviculales; Naviculaceae
Source: the annotation of a GenBank genome assembly